This 76-nucleotide transfer RNA is filed under the name Marinobacter nauticus. Its description in RNAcentral is "tRNA-Ala". It matches the Rfam family "tRNA". Rfam says of the family: Transfer RNA (tRNA) molecules are approximately 80 nucleotides in length. RNAcentral also lists the same sequence under 52 other names. Lineage: Bacteria; Pseudomonadati; Pseudomonadota; Gammaproteobacteria; Pseudomonadales; Marinobacteraceae. The record is from RNAcentral.
GGGGCCGUAGCUCAGCUGGGAGAGCGCCUGCCUUGCACGCAGGAGGUCAGGAGUUCGAUCCUCCUCGGCUCCACCA